Molecule: ribosomal RNA, 2897 nt
Filed under: Escherichia coli
Lineage: Bacteria; Pseudomonadati; Pseudomonadota; Gammaproteobacteria; Enterobacterales; Enterobacteriaceae
Description: partial 23S ribosomal RNA
Rfam family: Bacterial large subunit ribosomal RNA
Source: RNAcentral
GGUUAAGCGACUAAGCGUACACGGUGGAUGCCCUGGCAGUCAGAGGCGAUGAAGGACGUGCUAAUCUGCGAUAAGCGUCGGUAAGGUGAUAUGAACCGUUAUAACCGGCGAUUUCCGAAUGGGGAAACCCAGUGUGUUUCGACACACUAUCAUUAACUGAAUCCAUAGGUUAAUGAGGCGAACCGGGGGAACUGAAACAUCUAAGUACCCCGAGGAAAAGAAAUCAACCGAGAUUCCCCCAGUAGCGGCGAGCGAACGGGGAGCAGCCCAGAGCCUGAAUCAGUGUGUGUGUUAGUGGAAGCGUCUGGAAAGGCGCGCGAUACAGGGUGACAGCCCCGUACACAAAAAUGCACAUGCUGUGAGCUCGAUGAGUAGGGCGGGACACGUGGUAUCCUGUCUGAAUAUGGGGGGACCAUCCUCCAAGGCUAAAUACUCCUGACUGACCGAUAGUGAACCAGUACCGUGAGGGAAAGGCGAAAAGAACCCCGGCGAGGGGAGUGAAAAAGAACCUGAAACCGUGUACGUACAAGCAGUGGGAGCACAGAGCAAUCUGUGUGACUGCGUACCUUUUGUAUAAUGGGUCAGCGACUUAUAUUCUGUAGCAAGGUUAACCGAAUAGGGGAGCCGAAGGGAAACCGAGUCUUAACUGGGCGUUAAGUUGCAGGGUAUAGACCCGAAACCCGGUGAUCUAGCCAUGGGCAGGUUGAAGGUUGGGUAACACUAACUGGAGGACCGAACCGACUAAUGUUGAAAAAUUAGCGGAUGACUUGUGGCUGGGGGUGAAAGGCCAAUCAAACCGGGAGAUAGCUGGUUCUCCCCGAAAGCUAUUUAGGUAGCGCCUCGUGAAUUCAUCUCCGGGGGUAGAGCACUGUUUCGGCAAGGGGGUCAUCCCGACUUACCAACCCGAUGCAAACUACGAAUACCGGAGAAUGUUAUCACGGGAGACACACGGCGGGUGCUAACGUCCGUCGUGAAGAGGGAAACAACCCAGACCGCCAGCUAAGGUCCCAAAGUCAUGGUUAAGUGGGAAACGAUGUGGGAAGGCCCAGACAGCCAGGAUGUUGGCUUAGAAGCAGCCAUCAUUUAAAGAAAGCGUAAUAGCUCACUGGUCGAGUCGGCCUGCGCGGAAGAUGUAACGGGGCUAAACCAUGCACCGAAGCUGCGGCAGCGACGCUGAUGCGUUGUUGGGUAGGGGAGCGUUCUGUAAGCCUGCGAAGGUGUGCUGUGAGGCAUGCUGGAGGUAUCAGAAGUGCGAAUGCUGACAUAAGUAACGAUAAAGCGGGUGAAAAGCCCGCUCGCCGGAAGACCAAGGGUUCCUGUCCAACGUUAAUCGGGGCAGGGUGAGUCGACCCCUAAGGCGAGGCCGAAAGGCGUAGUCGAUGGGAAACAGGUUAAUAUUCCUGUACUUGGUGUUACUGCGAAGGGGGGACGGAGAAGGCUAUGUUGGCCGGGCGACGGUUGUCCCGGUUUAAGCGUGUAGGCUGGUUUUCCAGGCAAAUCCGGAAAAUCAAGGCUGAGGCGUGAUGACGAGGCACUACGGUGCUGAAGCAACAAAUGCCCUGCUUCCAGGAAAAGCCUCUAAGCAUCAGGUAACAUCAAAUCGUACCCCAAACCGACACAGGUGGUCAGGUAGAGAAUACCAAGGCGCUUGAGAGAACUCGGGUGAAGGAACUAGGCAAAAUGGUGCCGUAACUUCGGGAGAAGGCACGCUGAUAUGUAGGUGAAGUCCCUCGCGGAUGGAGCUGAAAUCAGUCGAAGAUACCAGCUGGCUGCAACUGUUUAUUAAAAACACAGCACUGUGCAAACACGAAAGUGGACGUAUACGGUGUGACGCCUGCCCGGUGCCGGAAGGUUAAUUGAUGGGGUUAGCGCAAGCGAAGCUCUUGAUCGAAGCCCCGGUAAACGGCGGCCGUAACUAUAACGGUCCUAAGGUAGCGAAAUUCCUUGUCGGGUAAGUUCCGACCUGCACGAAUGGCGUAAUGAUGGCCAGGCUGUCUCCACCCGAGACUCAGUGAAAUUGAACUCGCUGUGAAGAUGCAGUGUACCCGCGGCAAGACGGAAAGACCCCGUGAACCUUUACUAUAGCUUGACACUGAACAUUGAGCCUUGAUGUGUAGGAUAGGUGGGAGGCUUUGAAGUGUGGACGCCAGUCUGCAUGGAGCCGACCUUGAAAUACCACCCUUUAAUGUUUGAUGUUCUAACGUGGACCCGUAAUCCGGGUUGCGGACAGUGUCUGGUGGGUAGUUUGACUGGGGCGGUCUCCUCCUAAAGAGUAACGGAGGAGCACGAAGGUUGGCUAAUCCUGGUCGGACAUCAGGAGGUUAGUGCAAUGGCAUAAGCCAGCUUGACUGCGAGCGUGACGGCGCGAGCAGGUGCGAAAGCAGGUCAUAGUGAUCCGGUGGUUCUGAAUGGAAGGGCCAUCGCUCAACGGAUAAAAGGUACUCCGGGGAUAACAGGCUGAUACCGCCCAAGAGUUCAUAUCGACGGCGGUGUUUGGCACCUCGAUGUCGGCUCAUCACAUCCUGGGGCUGAAGUAGGUCCCAAGGGUAUGGCUGUUCGCCAUUUAAAGUGGUACGCGAGCUGGGUUUAGAACGUCGUGAGACAGUUCGGUCCCUAUCUGCCGUGGGCGCUGGAGAAUUGAGGGGGGCUGCUCCUAGUACGAGAGGACCGGAGUGGACGCAUCACUGGUGUUCGGGUUGUCAUGCCAAUGGCACUGCCCGGUAGCUAAAUGCGGAAGAGAUAAGUGCUGAAAGCAUCUAAGCACGAAACUUGCCCCGAGAUGAGUUCUCCCUGACUCCUUGAGAGUCCUGAAGGAACGUUGAAGACGACGACGUUGAUAGGCCGGGUGUGUAAGCGCAGCGAUGCGUUGAGCUAACCGGUACUAAUGAACCGUGAGG